Molecule: unclassified non-coding RNA, 433 nt
Filed under: uncultured Russula
Lineage: Eukaryota; Fungi; Basidiomycota; Agaricomycetes; Russulales; Russulaceae
Description: sequence contains ITS2
Rfam family: 5.8S ribosomal RNA (bases 1-154)
Source: RNAcentral
AACUUUCAACAACGGAUCACUUGGCUCUCGCAUCGAUGAAGAACGCAGCGAAAUGCGAUACGUAAUGGGAAUUGCAGAAUUCAGUGAAUCAUCGAAUCUUUGAACGCACCUUGCGCCCCUUGGAAUUCCGACGGGCACACCCGUUUGAGUGUCGUGAACAUCCUUCAACCUUUCUUGGUUUCUUAACCGGGGAAGGCUUGGACUUUGGGGGUCUUUCAUUGCUGGCCUCUUUGAAGCCAGCUCCUCCUAAAUGGAUUAGUGUGGUCUGCUUUGCCGAUCCUUGACGUGAUAAGAUGUUUCUACGUCUUGGGUUUCGCACUGUCGCUUUAGACCCCGCUUCUAACCGUCUUGCAUUCAAGACAGAGUUUUAAACCUUGACCUCAAAUCGGGUGAGACUACCCGCUGAACUUAAGCAUAUCAAUAAGCGGAGGCU